RNAcentral lists this ribosomal RNA (1508 nucleotides) under uncultured bacterium. Its description in RNAcentral is "16S ribosomal RNA". It matches the Rfam family "Bacterial small subunit ribosomal RNA". The record is from RNAcentral.
UAGAGUUUGAUCAUGGCUCAGAUUGAACGCUGGCGGCAGGCCUAACACAUGCAAGUCGAACGGUAACAGGAAGCAGCUUGCUGCUUCGCUGACGAGUGGCGGACGGGUGAGUAAUGUCUGGGAAACUGCCCGGUGGAGGGGGAUAACUACUGGAAACGGUAGCUAAUACCGCAUAACGUCGCAAGACCAAAGAGGGGGACCUUCGGGCCUCUUGCCACCGGAUGUGCCCAGAUGGGAUUAGCUUGUUGGUGAGGUAACGGCUCACCAAGGCGACGAUCCCUAGCUGGUCUGAGAGGAUGACCAGCCACACUGGAACUGAGACACGGUCCAGACUCCUACGGGAGGCAGCAGUGGGGAAUAUUGCACAAUGGGCGCAAGCCUGAUGCAGCCAUGCCGCGUGUAUGAAGAAGGCCUUCGGGUUGUAAAGUACUUUCAGCGGGGAGGAAGGGAUUGUGGUUAAUAACCGCAGUCAUUGACGUUACCCGCAGAAGAAGCACCGGCUAACUCCGUGCCAGCAGCCGCGGUAAUACGGAGGGUGCAAGCGUUAAUCGGAAUUACUGGGCGUAAAGCGCACGCAGGCGGUCUGUCAAGUCGGAUGUGAAAUCCCCGGGCUCAACCUGGGAACUGCAUUCGAAACUGGCAGGCUUGAGUCUCGUAGAGGGGGGUGGAAUUCCAGGUGUAGCGGUGAAAUGCGUAGAGAUCUGGAGGAAUACCGGUGGCGAAGGCGGCCCCCUGGACGAAGACUGACGCUCAGGUGCGAAAGCGUGGGGAGCAAACAGGAUUAGAUACCCUGGUAGUCCACGCCGUAAAACGAUGUCUACUUGGAGGUUGUGCCCCUGAGGCGUGGCUUCCGGAGCUAACGCGUUAAGUAGACCGCCUGGGGAGUACGGCCGCAAGGUUAAAACUCAAAUGAAUUGACGGGGGCCCGCACAAGCGGUGGAGCAUGUGGUUUAAUUCGAUGCAACGCGAAGAACCUUACCUGGUCUUGACAUCCACGGAAGACUGCAGAGAUGCGGUUGUGCCUUCGGGAGCCGUGAGACAGGUGCUGCAUGGCUGUCGUCAGCUCGUGUUGUGAAAUGUUGGGUUAAGUCCCGCAACGAGCGCAACCCUUAUCCUUUGUUGCCAGCGGUUAGGCCGGGAACUCAAAGGAGGCUGCCAGUGAUAAACUGGAGGAAGGUGGGGAUGACGUCAAGUCAUCAUGGCCCUUACGACCAGGGCUACACACGUGCUACAAUGGCAUAUACAAAGAGAAGCGACCUCGCGAGAGCAAGCGGACCUCAUAAAGUAUGUCGUAGUCCGGAUUGGAGUCUGCAACUCGACUCCAUGAAGUCGGAAUCGCUAGUAAUCGUGGAUCAGAAUGCCACGGUGAAUACGUUCCCGGGCCUUGUACACACCGCCCGUCACACCAUGGGAGUGGGUUGCAAAAGAAGUAGGUAGCUUAACCUCCGGGAGGGCGCUUACCACUUUGUGAUUCAUGACUGGGGUGAAGUCGUAACAAGGUAACCGUA